RNAcentral lists this ribosomal RNA (491 nucleotides) under uncultured bacterium. RNAcentral describes it as "partial 16S ribosomal RNA". It matches the Rfam family "Bacterial small subunit ribosomal RNA", at positions 29 to 506 of the family's 1533-position model. The record is from RNAcentral.
AGUGAACGCUGGCGGUAGGCCUAACACAUGCAAGUCGAACGGCAGCACAGUAAGAGCUUGCUCUUACGGGUGGCGAGUGGCGGACGGGUGAGGAAUACAUCGGAAUCUACUUUUUCGUGGGGGAUAACGUAGGGAAACUUACGCUAAUACCGCAUACUACCUACGGGUGAAAGCAGGGGAUCUUCGGACCUUUCGCGAUUGAAUGAGCCGAUGUCGGAUUAGCUAGUUGGCGGGGUAAAGGCCCACCAAGGCGACGAUCCGUAGCUGGUCUGAGAGGAUGAUCAGCCACACUGGAACUGAGACACGGUCCAGACUCCUACGGGAGGCAGCAGUGGGGAAUAUUGGACAAUGGGCGCAAGCCUGAUCCAGCCAUACCGCGUGGGUGAAGAAGGCCUUCGGGUUGUAAAGCCCUUUUGUUGGGAAAGAAAAGCAGCAGGUUAAUACCCCGCUGUUCUGACGGUACCCAAAGAAUAAGCACCGGCUAACUUCGU